RNAcentral lists this small RNA (145 nucleotides) under Flavobacterium micromati. RNAcentral's name for it is "Flavo-1 RNA". Lineage: Bacteria; Pseudomonadati; Bacteroidota; Flavobacteriia; Flavobacteriales; Flavobacteriaceae. The record is from RNAcentral.
CCCUAGCCGUGGUAGUAGUGGAAAUCCUCGAGCGUAGUUGCCCAUUUUUUCUCGCUUAUAAAAGAGCGACUAAAAGAAGCUCCUUUUAUAAGGAUAGAAAAAAAGGCAAAUAAGCGAGAGAUUGAAACGGAUAACGCGAAGAGGC